Molecule: long non-coding RNA, 782 nt
Organism: Tachysurus fulvidraco (yellow catfish)
Lineage: Eukaryota; Metazoa; Chordata; Actinopteri; Siluriformes; Bagridae
Exons: 4
Source: RefSeq, a predicted model, not a curated record
GUGAAAUAGCGUGUCGUCUAUAAUAUUAUAUCUUUAAUACCAUCAUCAUCAUUAUCAUCAUCAUCAAUUUCAAUUAAAUUGGCAUAAUUAUAAUAUUAUAAAUAUAUAUUAUAUAAUAUAAUAUAAAUUAUAUUAAAUUAUAUUAUCUUCAUCAUAUAUUAUCAAUAAAUAUAUUAUAAGUUAUAUAUAUAUAUCUUAAAUUGUUACGAGCGAAGAUCUGGCAACCAUGAACACUAGAUGACGUAAUCGUUCUAUUUCCUUUUCCUUCGAGGUGCAGGAUGGUGCACGUGCUGCCUCGAAGAUAUGACCGUGCUAACAAUAACGCUAGUGAAAGCGAGCAGAAAGACAUCAGGUGAAUUGAUGCUCAGAUGACCAAAGAGAGCAGUGUCUAGUCCUUUCUGAGGUUUGUCAAAAGACUGAAGAUAACCAUUCUAAUACAGAAUCUUCUGUCAUGGAAAGGAAAAAGUAAAGCCUGGAAUUAAAUACAUCUCUGACCUUUUCGUGUUAUAUGACUCAGCUAAAUUUCUAUAUUUUGAAACAGAACAGCUUGGAUUUUAAGCAGAAUGCAAUGAUGUAUGCAGAUAAAUUCCCUUUACCACCACAAUUAAGUCGGUGGUAUAAAACAGCACACAUGCAAGUAAAGCUAAAUGAGGCAUGUUAAAAACUAAAUACAUUUUAUUGGAAAAACUACCACUCUAUUGUGACAAGUUAAUGGAUUAUUUUGGGUAAAUUUAUUUUAUUUAUUUAUUUAAACAUUAAUGUUAAUAAAUUGAAAUACUGGA